RNAcentral lists this ribosomal RNA (477 nucleotides) under uncultured bacterium. Its description in RNAcentral is "bacterial SSU rRNA". It matches the Rfam family "Bacterial small subunit ribosomal RNA", at positions 29 to 500 of the family's 1533-position model. The record is from RNAcentral.
AUUGAACGCUGGCGGCAUGCCUAACACAUGCAAGUCGCACGCGAAAGGGGGCAACCCCGAGUAGAGUGGCGGACGGGUGCGUAAUACGUAGGAAUCUACCUGAUAGUGGGGGACAACCCGGCGAAAGCCGGGCUAAUACCGCAUACGACCUAUGGGUGAAAGCCGGGGACCGCAAGGCCUGGCGCUAUUAGAUGAGCCUGCGUCGGAUUAGCUAGUUGGUGAGGUAAAGGCUACCAAGGCGACGAUCCGUAGCUGGUCUGAGAGGACGACCAGCCACACUGGAACUGAGACACGGUCCAGACUCCUACGGGAGGCAGCAGGUGGGGAAUUGUUCGCAAUGGGCGCAAGCCCUGACGACGCAACGCCGCGUGGAGGAUGAAGAUCUUCGGGUCGUAAACUCCUGUCGAGCGGGACGAAUGGCCCCGCGGGUCAAUAACCUGCGGGAGUGACGGUACCGCGAGAGGAAGCCCCGGCUAA